AUUCCAGCUCCAAUAGCGUAUAUUAAAGUUGUUGCAGUUAAAAAGCUCGUAGUUGGAUUUCUGGUGGGAGCGUUGGGCCGGCCCUAAGGGUCUGAGCUCAAAUGUUUUCCGCCAUCCUUGGAGGGAUGUUGUCUGGCAUUAAGUUGUCGGGCUUCCGAUCUCCAUCGUUUACUGUGAAAAAAUUAGAGUGUUCAAAGCAGGCUUAUGCCGUUGAAUACAUUAGCAUGGAAUAAUAAGAUAGGACCUUGGUACUAUUUUGUUGGUUUGCGUACCUAGGUAAUGAUUAAUAGGGACAGUUGGGGAUAUUACUAUUUCGUUGUCAGAGGUGAAAUUCAUGGAUUUACGAAAGAGUAACUACUGCGAAAGCAUUUAUCAAGGAUGUUUUCAUCA
RNAcentral lists this ribosomal RNA (390 nucleotides) under Bolidophyceae sp. RNAcentral describes it as "partial small subunit ribosomal RNA". It matches the Rfam family "Eukaryotic small subunit ribosomal RNA", at positions 582 to 975 of the family's 1831-position model. The record is from RNAcentral. Lineage: Eukaryota; Bolidophyceae.